This 495-nucleotide ribosomal RNA is filed under the name uncultured bacterium. RNAcentral's name for it is "partial 16S ribosomal RNA". It matches the Rfam family "Bacterial small subunit ribosomal RNA", at positions 28 to 507 of the family's 1533-position model. The record is from RNAcentral.
GACGAACGCUGGCGGCGUGCCUAAUACAUGCAAGUAGAACGCUGAAGGAGGAGCUUGCUUCUCUGGAUGAGUUGCGAACGGGUGAGUAACGCGUAGGUAACCUGCCUGGUAGCGGGGGAUAACUAUUGGAAACGAUAGCUAAUACCGCAUAAUAGCAGUUGUUGCAUGACAACUGUUUGAAAGGUGCAAUUGCACCACUACCAGAUGGACCUGCGUUGUAUUAGCUAGUUGGUGGGGUAACGGCUCACCAAGGCGACGAUACAUAGCCGACCUGAGAGGGGGAUCGGCCACACUGGGACUGAGACACGGCCCAGACUCCUACGGGAGGCAGCAGUAGGGAAUCUUCGGCAAUGGACGGAAGUCUGACCGAGCAACGCCGCGGGAGUGAAGAAGGUUUUCGGAUCGUAAAGCUCUGUUGUAAGAGAAGAACGAGUGUGAGAGUGGAAAGUUCACACUGUGACGGUAUCUUACCAGAAAGGGACGGCUAACUACGUG